UGCCAUAUAGCAUAAUGGUAGUGCGCACGCCCCGCGACAUACGGCGGCGUUGAGGUGGCGGUUCGACCCCGUCUAUGGCAA
Molecule: transfer RNA, 81 nt
Filed under: Muribaculaceae bacterium
Lineage: Bacteria; Pseudomonadati; Bacteroidota; Bacteroidia; Bacteroidales; Muribaculaceae
Description: tRNA-OTHER
Rfam family: tRNA
About the family: Transfer RNA (tRNA) molecules are approximately 80 nucleotides in length. Their secondary structure includes four short double-helical elements and three loops (D, anti-codon, and T loops).
Source: RNAcentral